CGCUUUUUUCGUGCAAGCGGAGCUCGGCCGCAAGCUCAAGUCGUAACGGCCUGCAUCGACCAGCACCGAGAAACCUACAGGGUCGAGCCGAUCUGCAAGGUAUUGCAGGUUGCCCCG
Acidithiobacillus caldus SM-1 is the source of this 117-nucleotide regulatory RNA element. It matches the Rfam family "ALIL pseudoknot". The record is from Rfam. Lineage: Bacteria; Pseudomonadati; Pseudomonadota; Acidithiobacillia; Acidithiobacillales; Acidithiobacillaceae.